Molecule: ribosomal RNA, 253 nt
Filed under: uncultured bacterium
Lineage: Bacteria
Description: partial 16S ribosomal RNA
Rfam family: Bacterial small subunit ribosomal RNA
Source: RNAcentral
UACGUAGGGUGCAAGCGUUGUCCGGAAUUAUUGGGCGUAAAGAGCUCGUAGGCGGUUUGUCGCGUCUGCUGUGAAAUCCCGGGGCUUAACCCCGGGCUUGCAGUGGAUACGGGCAGGCUGGAGGCAGGCAGGGGAGAACGGAAUUCCCGGUGUAGCGGUGAAAUGCGCAGAUAUCGGGAGGAACACCGGUGGCGAAGGCGGUUCUCUGGGCCUGUACUGACGCUGAGGAGCGAAAGCGUGGGGAGCGAACAGG